GCCAUGAUGGCGGAGUGGCUACGCGGCUGACUGCAGAUCAGCGGAACCCGGUUCGAUUCCGGGUCAUGGCU
Molecule: transfer RNA, 71 nt
Filed under: Methanoregula sp.
Lineage: Archaea; Methanobacteriati; Methanobacteriota; Methanomicrobia; Methanomicrobiales; Methanoregulaceae
Description: tRNA-Cys
Rfam family: tRNA
About the family: Transfer RNA (tRNA) molecules are approximately 80 nucleotides in length. Their secondary structure includes four short double-helical elements and three loops (D, anti-codon, and T loops). Further hydrogen bonds mediate the characteristic L-shaped molecular structure. tRNAs have two regions of fundamental functional importance: the anti-codon, which is responsible for specific mRNA codon recognition, and the 3' end, to which the tRNAs corresponding amino acid is attached (by aminoacyl-tRNA synthetases). tRNAs cope with the degeneracy of the genetic code in two manners: having more than one tRNA (with a specific anti-codon) for a particular amino acid; and 'wobble' base-pairing, i.e. permitting non-standard base-pairing at the 3rd anti-codon position.
Source: RNAcentral